This is a long non-coding RNA of Amblyraja radiata (thorny skate), 138 nucleotides long. RefSeq lists it as uncharacterized. The record is from RefSeq and is a predicted model, not a curated record. Lineage: Eukaryota; Metazoa; Chordata; Chondrichthyes; Rajiformes; Rajidae. The transcript has 3 exons.
GAUUUGCGGCCUUGUCAGACAAAUGAGGAUUUCUGAUGCAGAAUUUGGGCUUGAAAUGUGAUGUCAGCAGCACAUAAGAUACAGUGCCCUCCGUAAUGUUUGGGACAAAGACCCAUCGUUUAUUUAUUUGCAUCUGUA